CAGAAACUGAUUAAAUAAUUAAUCUCAAUUUUCUUGAAAUUAAAGUGUUGGCUCUGGCACCCUUUCCUCAGGUGGUAAGGUUUUGGGAAGUUUUACAGAAAGCACCUAUGAAAUAUGGCUUUAAACAUGGGGUCAGGAGUUGGAGCACCAGAGUUUCAUUUCUGCUCCUGCUCCCGCUUUCCAAGGCAACCUUGAGCAGGGCAAUGAGGACAACAUUUUCCAACAGCAAUAGCUAAAGUUAACUACCUAGAUCCACAUUAGCUGGGUUAACCUAUUUCCAUAGGAACUAAAUGCGUGCAUGCAACAGGAACAGGAGUUCUGCUGAAAUCCCUAGUUAGAAAAGUCUCCCCAGAAGCUCACUUUCAUCAUGUGUGAAGUAGGUACAAUAAAGCCAUGCAGUUUAUGAGAGAUCAUCUUUUUCACUGGGGGUGGAAUGUACUAAGUACUGUCCCUCCCCAAAACAACCAGUCCUCCCUGUCCUCUGCCACUGAAGAGACUGUUCUGCCCCCAGGUGCAGAGCUCUUUGCCAUUAUUCAAACACAAUCAAUGCCUUAAAUUGCUCUGGUUAAUUGCUGUAAUGGCUGCUAUCAGCAAACGUAUCACUAUCUAAAUGGUGCCUGUUUGCUCUUUAACAGACUUUGAAAGAAUUUAUCCGGAUUGACAUCGACAUUUACAUUGCAGGGGCACACGGUGAGUACUCACGUUUCCCUCAGCCUCUCUGUGGAUGCUCCAGUCCCAAAAAUUAUUCCAAUUCCCAGUUUUACCUCCCAGAGCUGGAUAACGAUGGCUCCAUCUCCAUGCUGCCCCUAUCUUGGGCAGCCUGGGUUAAAUGAGAGCCAGGCCCCUCUUCCCUCCUGCCCAGCAUCAAGCAGGGCAGGGCCGAUGGGGUUGGUGUCCCACCCUCUCCACGUCGCUAAAGUCUGCUCUAAUAAAUGAAACCAUGCAUUGUCAGAUAGCCCUGCAUUCACUCAGUGGACAUGUGAAGGAUACUUCAUUUUCAAGGCCUGCAGUUUUACACAUCUUGCUGAAGAAGGAUACAGCCCCCAAAUUAAAGCUCACUGAGAAGGGUACCAGCAAAGACUAUAUCAUCAAUACCAGCAAUGGGCUACGCAGCCGGGAGAACACGAAUCCAGCAGAAACAAAAUUUUAGAUUCAGUUUUGUAAGUAGAAUAUCCUCCAGCAGCACAGCAUCACUUACAGAAGAUGAAUACAGAUGCAGCGAGGAACACAAAGACUGAUGGACGCUUUCAUAUACCCUAAGAGGGAUUUACUUCACAUGAUUAUGGUCCAAGUUCUGGAAUGGGCUCGUUAGUCUUUACGUGUCUCUGUAAAUAUAGAGAUGUAUUUAUGUACAUACGUGGAGGCUAUAAUCACCUGGAUUUUCCUAUUUCAUACCCUGCUGACAACCUACCCACGCAGCUGAAGAAGCAAGUAAUGUUAGCCCUAUUUGCAUAUACUUGUACAUACAUCUAUGUUACUCUGACAGUUUGUAGACAGCUUGUACAGUUACUAGAGAAUAUAUAAAUAUUUGAAAUCUUGUAAUUUAUAACAGUCUAAUAGUUGAGAGAGAGAUUUUAUCUCCAGCUUGUAUAUAACUUGUAUAUAGUUUUCAUUAUGGUUUACAAGAUACCUGGUAGAUUGGGUUAUUAAACUUAUUUUCAGCUCACUACUGCAUGUAUAGUACACAAAGUGACUACCGUACCUACUGUGAAAUAUGAAAACGGCUCCGUAAAGACACACAGCAUUUUCAGAUCCAAACACAAUUUAUUGAUUCACUUUGGGGUGCUAUAAAAUGCACAAGACAGGACAUAUUUACAGUGAACUAGAAAAUGAUGAUUUUGGUAGCACUUCAUCGCUUGCUGCAUUUGUCAAUACACCACCGAGGUAGCUUGAAAUCAGUCUGAUUUCCUGCUGAAACACAGAAACUGACAGCGAUUGAAAACUGAAAGGAAAAAGUUUUCUAAUUCAGUUUUGUUUGGGUCCAUUUGCACACCAAGAAGAGCUGCAGUGAAUCCCCCGGUGAACCAGUCUUCCUUGUUAAAUGCAUCCCAGCUACCUCACUGCAGCUGACAGCAGCAAAGAGUUCGAGGUUAUACAGCUACUAAGAAAUAGCAGCCGUGACUCUAGGCAGAGAGCACGGCAGCCUUCUCGUGGAAGGCUUUUCACCUUCCUGUUGGUGUGACAGGCAGCCCCGUUAUGUGUGUGCCCCAGGAAACGGCACACAAUGGCCCCAAAACUCAGCUUGGGAGCUGUGGGUAUGGAGCUGCCAGGCAGGGAAGGAAAGGAGGGAAGGAAAAAGUGUUCUGGGUAAACAAGAACCAUGAUUUUUAUCUCAGUAGUAUGCAAGACUUCAGAACAAAAUUUGGAGGAAAACCAGACAGGAAUAAGUGGGAAGAAAUGUGGCGUACUUUUGUAAAAGGUAGAUGUAUGCAUGCCACACUCACCUAACCACCAUAGCUCACAUAACCUCCAGUUAGCAAACAGAGCUCCCAAAGGGAAAUGCCAUAGAUUUCAUCUCUCUAGACCUGAGCAAAACCUUCCUUGCAGAGCCACGUGGGCAAGAGUUAAUGUGGUUGGAGAAGAUGGGGUAAGAAAAGGCACUGAAAGGAGAAGAUGGAUUAUACUAAAGAGGAGAUGACGAGUAGGAGCUUUGACAUAGAAGUACUGGGGUGGAGGAAGGAUUGAUGUGUUAAAUAUUUGCAUUAAUUGUUUGUUACAAAAGUCUGGAGUUAUCUGACGAAAUCUGCUAAUAAAACCAAGCUGGAAGAUAACA
Molecule: long non-coding RNA, 2773 nt
Filed under: Anas platyrhynchos platyrhynchos (common mallard)
Lineage: Eukaryota; Metazoa; Chordata; Aves; Anseriformes; Anatidae
Description: lncRNA (ENSAPLG00000017963.1)
Source: RNAcentral